AUGAUGGUAACAACGAAAAAAGUUAGGGAAGAUUGGCUUGAAGGCAGACCAAGCACUAGUUCGAACAGGGCGGAAAAGGCAUGGUCACAACUAUGGAAGAUCAAGGUACCAUCUAAAGUGCGAGUCUUUGUUUGGCGGCUCGCACAACACUCUUUCCCUUCGGGCUCAGAGAUGCAUCAUCGGAAAAUGACCACUAGCCCUCGAUGUGUUAUUUGUCAAGCAGAGAAUGACUCUUGUACCAUGUCACGUUGUGUUUGGGCAUUACUUGAUGAAUCCCUCAUAGAGCACAUGUGCAUGAAUUCUUGCUCGGAUGCGAAGGAGUGGCUGUUCCACAUGAUGGAGACUACAACACAUGAAGAAUUCAUCAAAAUUUUAUUGACACUUUGGGCGAUCUGGGGUGCGCGCGGAAAGGCAAUUCAUGAAUCUAUCUACCAAAGCCCGGUGAUUAUUCAUGGUUUUGUUACCAGUCUCAUUGCCGACCUUCAAAUGGUGAACACAAAACUGGAUAAAGCUGCUCCAAAUCUACAAGCAGCAGCGCCGAGAUGGAGGCCACCGCCGGAGGGCUGGGCCAAAAUUUAUGUUGAUGGUGGUACAAACAAGAUAGGAUCAAAGGGAGCAGCUGCCGUCAUAUGCAGGAAUGAUACAGGGAAGUACCUGGGGUCUUCAGCGAGGGUAUUGAACAAUUGCACCGACCCAGCAACUCUUGAAGCAAUAGCAUGCUGUGAAGCGCUGACUUUGGCGGAGGAUUUAAACAUUCAGAAAGUUAUUAUCGCAUGUGAUGCUUCCACAGUUAUCAAGAACAUCAAUGAAGGUAGUAGAUGCGAGUAUAGCUCGGUUCUUACGGAGAUUAAGGUGCGAUCGAGACAUUUUCUUAAUGUUAAUUUUGUGCACGAGGGUAGAGCAACAAACAUAGAAGCUCACAAUCUUGUGAAAAGUGUUUUAUCACUCGAACAUGGUCGAUUUCUAUGGCUACUCCAGCCAUGGGAUCCCUCUAUUGUACUUCCUGUUAUAGAGCAAUAA
This 1020-nucleotide ribosomal RNA is filed under the name Triticum aestivum (bread wheat). Its description in RNAcentral is "partial small subunit ribosomal RNA". Lineage: Eukaryota; Viridiplantae; Streptophyta; Magnoliopsida; Poales; Poaceae. The record is from RNAcentral.